CCUACGGGAGGCAGCAGUGGGGAAUAUUGCACAAUGGGGGGAACCCUGAUGCAGCAAUGCCGCGGGGGUGAAGAAGCACUCCGGUGCGUAAAGCCCUGUCAGCAGGGAGGAAAAUGACAGUACCUGGACAAGAAGCCCCGGCGAACUACGUGCCAGCAGCCGCGGGAAUACGUAGGGGGCAGGCGUUAUCCGGAUUUACUGGGUGGAAAGGGAGCGCAGGCGGGGUGGCAAGUCAGAUGGGAAAACCCGGGGCCCAACCCCGGGAGUGCAUUUGAAACUGCCAUGCUGGAGGGCCGGAGAGGUAAGCGGAAUUCCUGGUGUAGCGGUGAAAUGCGUAGAUAUUAGGAGGAACACCAGUGGCGAAGGCGGCUUACUGGACUGUAACUGACGUUGAGGCUCGAAAGCGUGGGGAGCAAACAGGAUUAGAUACCCGGGUAGUC
Molecule: ribosomal RNA, 440 nt
Filed under: uncultured bacterium
Lineage: Bacteria
Description: partial 16S ribosomal RNA
Rfam family: Bacterial small subunit ribosomal RNA
Source: RNAcentral